UGGACGGUCUAUAAGUUAUUAGGCAACACAGAAACAACUUCCUCUGGUGUGUGAGAGCCAGGAAUAGGUCGGCUUGAUUGCUUACUUCAGAAGAACGCGCUCUAUGCACUCUGCUCCUGAAGCUGUCGCCUGAUACAUAUAAGAACACCGUCUUCAUCUCUUUUGCUCUUGAUGUCACUACACUGGGGCCUUGGACAAGCAUGCUGGAUUUUGAUGUGACAAGAAAUAUCGAGAACAUGAACUCUUUGCUUCUCUGGUUUUGCUGGAUGAUUCCUUUGUCUCUAGAGGAGAAGAGAACUGGAGGUUUCACAACAAAAGACUAGAAUACUGCAAUUGAGAGGUAUAGACCGACAUACCCCAGAGUUGUGGCACCCAUUAACAGAUCAAGCAAGCGCGUGCAGCUGUGUUUUGAUCAGUGAAAAGGUUUCCUGGCAUCCAAGAACUGAAAUCACCUUUUGGGGUAUGACAAACGCAUCCAAGCAUCUAGCAAGUGAAAAUCGAGGGUCUCGGUAAGGAAGGAAUAAGAGAAACUACCACAGAGAAUUAAAAGUAAACCUUUAAUAGUUACAACUGUGCAAACUCAAUCACAUUCAUGCCUUCUAUUGGCACCUAGCCCUCCACCAUUACAUUUGCUAGCUUACAAAGCUAGUUCCCAUUCCUUCCUCCUGCCCCCUUUUGCCCCUGUUUUUGCACCAGGCUUCCCCAGCUACCAGAGUUGUGGGCUCAUCUUCAUCAUCCAUUUGAGCACAGGCACAUGCUAAGAGGAUACAUUUACCCUUUUGCCUCCUGCUCUGAAACAGUGCUUCAGCCACUGGGAAAGGAAGGAGCUACUGAGCUUGAUGCCCUUUGUGGGCAUGUUCCAUGCUUUUUAAUCAUUGCAUAGCGCUUAAAUACUGUGGGGAUAGGCACUUUGGAGGUAUCUAAGAUGACAGAAAGACAGGUACGAUUCAGAGGAAAAUUAACUUGACAGAGUGGGGUCAAAGGGUUUUAACCAGCUCCUUCGUUCUGACUCCCUCAGGUUCAGCCCCUCACUCCUCCAUCAUUGUAACUGCAUGCUUGACACAAACAGACACGGGAGAGGCACCAUUUUUCAAGUUGAGCCGUGCAAAUAGCCUCCACUCAGACUGUAUUGCAAUCUCUGGUUAACCUAAUAUCAGGAAGUGAGCAAUACAGAGCACAGUCUUCCCCCUCAGAGACUUCCAUGGCCAAAAUUGUUUAUGGUGGCCACAAUUAAUUUUCUAAAUUUGCAAACCUCAGUGUCCCAACUAUUUUCAUUCCCCAAAGGCCAGUUUUUAGCACCCACUAGAUUAGUUGGAGAUCUGAGUUCCAAAUUUGCAUGGAUAAAUACUAUUUGUCCAUGCAAAUCCAACUUUGCAGGUGAAGCAAAAAUUUAAGCCGCUAAUAUUGUGUGCCUAAAAAUGUGGACUUUCAGUUUGGGGGCUGCAAAUUCGAGGCUGCUUUUGAAAGUCUGCAAUGCUCCCAGCCUCCAAAGGCUUGACAUUCAAACUUCCUGUAGUCAUAUCCAAACUUGGGGAUACCCAAGAAGUAUUCACUGAGCUUCCAGAUGCUCCCCUACCCUAGGAUGCGUUAAGGAUGGAGAUUAACCAAAAUAUAUGGUAGAGAUUUGAUAUGGGCUCUAUCCACAGCACUUAUUUGCUCUGUUGAGCUCCUCCUUUUGCAAAAUCCUGCUUGCCUGGUGAUGGAAAAUCCCUGGUCCAGUCUUACUAGAGUCAUGUGACCAGCAGAAACAUAAGCCAACCAGAGAGAUUUACAUCUUUCAAGCUCUUUUCAUGCUGCCCUCCUCAGAUUCCUUGAACAGCAGCUUUCUUGUUCAUAAAUACUGCAGAUACAUUGAGUCUGAUUCUCAUUUACACUAAUGCCCCUUUAUGCCGUUCAGCAGUGUGAAAGGACCUUAAAGUGGGCGUAACUGUGCUUUAAAUGCACUGUAAGGCCCCUUUACCUGCUAGAGCCUUAAUGUAAAUGCCUUCUCUUUUCCCUUCCGUUUUCUUAUUUUGUUUCUUUGCUUACCAGCCCUUCAGAUCGAAUGUAUAUGGAUUUAGGGGGGAAUUCCAAGAUCCAAGGGGAUUCUCCCUCUCUGAAUCCUGAAUCAUUAAAGAUGGCUGCACCAUUACACUAAACACAGGCCCAGUUCUUCACAUUUAUCUUAGUUUAGCACUAGGGUGACCAGACAGCAAAUGUGAAAAAUUGGGACAGGGGGUGGAGGGUAAUAGGAGCCUAUAUAAAAAAAAGACCCAAAAAUCGGGACUGUCCCUAUAAAAUCGGGACAUCUGGUCACGCUAGUUAGCACAUUCCUUUAUUUAACUAUCUCUCAUCUGACUACAUCUGAGCAUUCCUUCAUUACAUUUUCACUUAAUCUUUUACCCCUGACUCAGACUAAGCAUCCCGUCACAUAUCACCCAAGGGACCAUCUCCGCUUCCCCCAACCACCCCUCUACUCUUUCCUCCCAUUUAGAUUCUUUACUCCACUCUGCGUAAUUUGCCUGAUUAUGUGGAGGGAGCGGUAGAUCUCUUUGUAAUUGCUGUUUUACGUAAAACGUUGAUUCCUCAGCUUCUGCCUGGUUUCAGGACCUAACACCUCACAAUGGGUUUCCCUGGGAUAAUCAGCGAAUAAGGCCAGAGAGGGCCUGAGCCCUGGGUUCAGAGUACAUUCCUGUAUUUGAAAGCAGCUCCAGAUUCUUGGCACUUGCCUGGUUAAACUGCAUGUGCAAUAUUGUCUCUCCAGGCAUUCUGGCAACCCCUGUAGUAGGAUUUCACUUGUUCUCAGUCUUUCUGACUCAGAGACAUUAAUUCCCCCCCAAGCUCCUUUGACAGAUAUAAGAAGUUCUCUCUUUUUUUUAAAUAUGAUGCUUACUGGAUAUUUCUUUUAACCUUUCACUGCCACUCCUGAAUGGGGUGAUAGUUUCUCCCUCCAGAUGAUGAUCUCUAGCAUGCAGUAACACAAGUUCCAAUCACCUGCUCAUUGUGAAGCUAAUAUGUAUUAUGCGGCCAAUUAAUUUAUGCCCGUGCCCAAGAGACUCUGCCUCUCAAUGUACUCCCUGCAUAUGAGGCCGUUCUUUCAGCACUUCUAUUGUCAAUGGCCACAUGAAGGAAGCCAUUGCUCAAGCCAGAAACUCUUUGUUUUACCAAAAAAGGGUUGAGAAACAUUAGGCAAGACUCUGCUGUAUCAAUUCAUCAGAUGCGGUGGAAAGAAAAUGUCUUUAAGAAAAGCAUUUUGGAGGAGGAUGCAAACAAAGCAGUGUCACUGGAUCAGCCCAGGAGGCAGCCCAGCUGAAAUCCACUGAAGUAGUCAUUUUCUCCAUUUCCAGUUUCUCUCUCACACACAAAAAUUGUCUGAGGAGACGCAAAUAUUUAAAAACAAAAAGACCUCCCAGGCUGACUUGAAACAUGUUCAAACUACACAUCUUCUCCCUACAACCCAGUAAAUAUUUCUUUGGCCCCACAAAACAUUUUACACUGAACCCAGGAAACCUCAGGUUGACCUUGGAAGUAAGAUUCCUCCUUUUCAAAGCAAAUGUUUCGGCAAUGCUACUGGCGGCAUUGCACUUUUCCACCAGAAUCAUAUAAAACCUGUCUUUUUUGGCAAACGUGCUAAAUUGUGCUGUUGUGAACUAGCUGCUUUCCUGGUUAACUGCACAUGGACUCUCUGAAUUCUUUGCUCCAUUUUUACACCAUGGUAUAAGGCUGAUGGCAAUGCUACAAUGUUCAACAACCUUCUGGGCUAGAUCCUCAGCUGGUAUAAAUCAGCAUAGCUCUCAUGGCGUCAAUGGAGCUACAUAGACUUACACCAGCUGAGAAUCUGGCCCUUAUAUCUAUAGCAGUGGUUUUAAAUCUAUGGUCCCCAGACCCCUGGGAUUCCACAGACCAUGUCUAAGGUUUCCAAAAGGGUCUGCACCUCAAUUCAAAAAAUGUUAGGGGUCUGCAAAUGAAAAAAGGUUGAAAACCACUGAUCUAUAGAGAUCAUGAGAGGUGUUCUCUUCUAUUUGCACUGGCUGCUUUAGCAGCAUUUAAUACUAUAGGACCUUUUUAGCUUACUUUGAAUCCUCCACUGGGAUUGCACAUGUCUGGAUUUGAUUAUCUUUGAUACAGACUGUCAAUUUGUUUUCCUCUGAUGUUUUCCUCCUCUGCUUGCUGUGUUAACUCUACUGUCCCCCAAGACAAUUUCUCAUAUCCCUCUGGGAUGUUCUGAAAAUAUAGUUUUGAAAUUUCCUUUGACGUCAUCUUCUUAGUGCAUGUCUGCUCAUAUUCAGGUAAAGAUUCCCUGGGACUGAUUUCAAUUCUUUGUAGUAAAGUAUGACCAUAUGCUCACUGUUUGGAAUUUAAGGACAUGUAGGGCCUGAAAUCCAUCCUCUGAUGUCUAUUUGAUGUCUGUUAACUGAUGCUAAAUAUCCUGAUGUUCACUAUGAUUGCAAUCUCCACUUUAACAUUCGUGCAUUGUUUACAGUACCACCAGAAUGGCUUUUAGAUUUUUUUUUAACUCUUUAGCAUAAUUAGAAAAUUAUUUCUGUUCUGUUUCUGUGGUAAAACAAAAGAAAUAGAGAUGGACAAUUUGGUUCAGAUGUACCAUACGAACUGAACCAAACUUUGUCUAAAAUUCCAACCAAAUCCCAAACAAACAUUUUUUGGCAUUCAAUAAAAUGGGGGAUAAACUUAUUUCAAAAUUAUCUUUUUUAUUUUUUCACACCUCGUGCUUUCAAGCUGUAGCCAAAGCAGUUGUGCUGUGUGCUAUGAGAGAGGCUAUUCCACAGAGAUUUCCAGUCCUGCAGUCUGAUCCACAUGGAUGUGGACCACACCCACCCCAAGUCCUGUUGAAAUAAGUGGGACUUUUUAUGUGCACAAAGGUCUGGAUUUAUCAAUUAUAUUGCAGGAUGGGAGCCCAGUUGUGCAGAUUUAAGAGUUUCGUGCAGUUCAGACAAUUAUAAGUAUCUGAAAUGUUGGGUGUGUAUUCAAACCGGGAUGAACCUCUGAACUUUCUUAGUUUUUCUUGUUACCACCAAAAAGGAAAACACCUGUUUUGUUUUUUGUUCCUGCACUUGAAUUCAAACAAAGCAGGGAUUUAUAAAUAAUCGCUGUUUUCAGAAGGUACAAUAUUCUGUAAGGAUCAUUCCCAGAUCUGAUGAACACACAAUACUCAUUGAGUGAACUUGCACUUGCUUUCAUGUAAAAUAUUAAAAGGACUAUCAAAUAUGUUUGGUACAAAAUACCUGGAGUAUAUUGCUGCUGGCAGGAUUCUCAGGUUAGUACGUUCUGGUUCACUGUAACAGUUCUGUCGUUUGGGCCAUUUGCAUGUGAGGUUAUUACAUCUUUUGACACUUGAAGGCAUGUGCCACUCUCACACAAAACAUUUGCAAAGUCAAACUAUAAAAAGGGGAAAUGAAAUGUAGCCUUUUUUCCCUAUUGUUUUUAUUUUCUAGUGAAAUGUGUUUUAAAAGGCCUCUGAAAUGUAAAAUUGCUUUUGUUGUAGCAACUAAAUUCAUUUCACUUUUGAUCUGAAAUGCAUUUGUAGCAAAUUUCCAGAGCUGAAAGGCUAAUCUAAUAACCCUGUAUGCACUAAGUCCAGAGCUGAAUGCCCAACCAGGCACUGAGCAGAUGCACAGGGAUGGAAUCCAUCUUGUGGUGACGGGAGUGUGCUCUGUAGGCCCUUCCCAUACCAUGCCUCCCAGCCCAACAGGGUAAGGAUGAGAAGUUCCCAUAGCAGCCCACUCUUUCCCCUCCUUCAUCCAGCAAUGCCUCUCGCUCUCUUGCCAGCUGUGUGCUGUUUUGCCAAGCUGCAUCCCAUUAGGUGCAGGAAUUGCAUACUCCCUCUGAGCCUUCCAUCCUGCCUCCCUGUUUGCAGUGGGAUGAAACCAGUUUGGCACCCAACACAUAGUUCAGGUAAUGUGGAGGCAGGGACGGGGGAGCUUGUCACUCCCUCUCCCCAGCAACUUCUCACACACACACACAUAUACACACACACACCUCACCUGAAGGCAGAUAGGGUUGGAUGUAUUCCUGGAAAUUUCAUCACAUGACAUGACUCCAGGCCAACACUGGACAGUUGGCAACCCUAAUUGCAGAUCCUCUGAGUCCCUCAUGCUGCUCCUCUGGCACAGCACAUAUCCAGAAUACUCAUUCACUUUGGGCCACAGAAAGAGAUUCAGUUUUUUCAUAAGAAAUUGGAAAUGGAAAAGAUGAAGACUUUUAUCACUGGAUUUUAGCGGAGUCCCUUCCUGCACUCAGGUGAUUCACACACAAGCAUUUGUUUUGCUCCUGCAACUCAUGCACAUAAAAAAAAAUGCACUUGAUUGUGCAUGUGGCCUUUUGAAAAAAAUUGCCCUCAACUUUUCUGUGCCUCAGUUUCCCAAUCUGUAAAAUGGGAAUAAUAAUACUUGCCUACCUUUGUAUAAUGUAUUUUGAGGUCCUUGGAUGUAUGGCACAAUAAACUUCUAAUUCUUUCUUAGGUGCAUCAUGUAAUGUGGUCACCUUUUGUGUAUUAUUAAAUACCAAAGGUAAUAGGCAGAGCUCAGCUAAAUAAUACGCUCUCACAAGAUACAGGUUAUUAUUGUGCUUGAGUCUACUGCAUUUAGCACACACUCAAAAAAAAAUCUUUGGAAAAGUUUCUCUUUGAGCAUUUUAUGUUAGAGCCUUAGUGCUGAUUCUGCCUCUAAAUUAUAAACCCUUAUGUAUGUACCAUAAAGAUGUCCACCUAAUGCACAGAAAAACAUAUUAAUUGAUCACAGCAAUAUAUUCUUAUCCACUGAAUUAGAGCAUUCCACGCAUUGUUUCUUUUUGUUUGUUUGUUUGUUUUUUGGCUUGUAAAUCUUUGUUGUAGGAUACGAAUGAAAAUGACCCAAAUAUGUAUUAUUUAUGAAUAGGAGUCUCAGAUAUUAUGCUUUAGAUUGAUUGUGUUAGACAGCGUAUAAUAGAAGCACAAUAAGUCAAUGAAAAAUAAAAAGCAGCAAAAAUGUUUCAUGCUAAAAAUGUAGUUCCAGUGACACCUCUUAUAUAAAGGACAUUGCCAAUAUAUUGACAUUUAUAUUUAUCAUGGCUGUGUGCCUGAUUUACAAGUGUUUGAGGUGCUGAAUAUCAGGAAUAUCCAUGCACAUACACACCCCUUUUGAAUGAUUGUAAGGCAUAGAUUGCUCCAUCACCCCUUAUACGGCAAGCUUUUCCUCCCUUUUUUAUUUUUCUCCUCUAGCUUCAGGGAGGCAAAGGAAGCAGUAGAUCAAUAGGAUGUCUUGACUGAAGUUGCCUGCAGCAGUUCCAUUUCUCAGACUGGACACUGAUGCUAACUAUCAAUAGCAAUAAGAGGCUGUCUCAGACAGAAUUAAGGCUCUUUCUUCUGCAUGGCUGUCUGGUGGUUACUGAUAAACAUCUUGUGCGCAGGAUUGCAACAAAUAAACCAUUUCAAGUGUGCAAACUAGCCACUGUCAUUCUUUCUAUUGAUACUUGCUUUUGAGGUGCGGGCGGAGAGAGUGUUAUAGUAUUUUCAUCUGGAUAAUGGAUACAGGUUAGACAGGUGUAAGGAC
Chrysemys picta bellii (western painted turtle) is the source of this 7526-nucleotide long non-coding RNA. RefSeq lists it as uncharacterized. Lineage: Eukaryota; Metazoa; Chordata; Testudines; Emydidae. The record is from RefSeq and is a predicted model, not a curated record.